CUUAAAACGCAAUUAGAUGAGUAUGAAAAGGAGAGUCAGAAAUCAGACAGUGAGGUUAGUAGUCAUCAUUGUGUGCCAAGAAGUUGCUCAAAAAUGCAAAAAGGACUAUCUGUAAAUCCCCUCCUUAUUAUGAUUUUCCCACACCAGACCAGGUUUUCAUAAAACAGUCUCAAAGAAAAGAUGUGAGUAAUUCAGAGAAAAC
This is a non-coding RNA of Pelobates cultripes (western spadefoot toad), 202 nucleotides long. The record is from the annotation of a GenBank genome assembly. Lineage: Eukaryota; Metazoa; Chordata; Amphibia; Anura; Pelobatidae.